UUUCAUUUUUCUUCCUGCUGCCUUCGGGACUUUCCGGAUGUCUGUUCACACUUUUGGAUUCAGCAUUUAAGCAAAUCUGGCUCUAAAGAUGACGAGUAGCAAGCCCCUGCACCAGGGCGAGCGCAGCCCGGCUCAGCAUCUCUCCUUCCUUUAGUUCUGGUACUGAGUGGCUCUUUACAGGACAUGUUCUCUUGUGUGUGUCUUGAAAAAAUAUAAGCGGAAGGUUCAUGAAGGGGUUUGGUUGUAGUAAAUUUAUCUUCACAAACUCGCCUUAAUAAAAGGUCAAAGUGUAACUUGUUCAGAGUACUUUCUGAAGCUGUCGAGCAUCAUCGCCAGUGGAUGGCUCCACAGAGUGAAGUCAGCGGUCACUUAGCCAUCUGACCCAAGCCAUGUGAUCAUUUCUAAAGGCCAACAAAAGCAUGUUUGAACUCUCAGUUCAGCAGAGCCCAGUUCCAAGUCUCUGGCAUCCGAGGUGUGACCCAUACUACAGCGGCUCGCCUUUUGCCUAGGUAGCAAAACGUAAGUCGAUUCAGAGAAGUCUGAGUACGGGUGUUGAGCUUUAUGUGACUCUGUAGUUGCUCUUUAUUUUCAAUAGCGAAUUGCUUUUCCUAAAUAAAUUGAUAAUUAUGUAUCCUUUUAGAUUGGAUGCAGGUGUGUGAUCAUGAAAGCUUUCAAUUAUGUGAAUAAUAAAGGAAUAUAAGAAGAAAAUUAAGGGGGUGGGGAAAUGGUUCAGUCAGUCAAGGGCUUGCUGUGCAAGCCUGGGGACCUGAGUUCAGAUCCCCAACCACCCACACAAAAAACCGGGCCUGCACCUGGAACCCAGAGCUGGGGAGGCGGAGACAGGAGGAGCCCUGGUGCUUGCUGGCCUGACAGUCUAGCUGAAUCUUUGAGCUCCUGGUUCUGGUAGAGAACAAUAGAGGAAGACAUAUAACAUAAAUCUCUGGCCUUGAGGGCAAGCACAUGUGCAUACACCCAUCUGCACACAAAUACAAAUACCAGGUACACUUGCAUGCACGACCGUACACCACACCAAACAAAGCAAAAACAACAAAUUUGCCAAAUACUUUAGGAAGCAUUUGAAUAAGUGCUAGCUCUUAUUUAAGACAUUUCUCUUUGCUGCAUAGGUCAGGAUGAAAGUAAAAGAUGCCUUAAUAUUUAAUUUUUGUACUGUUGGAGACAGUGGUUUUAAUUCCUAAUAUUUGCUAUUGUGAUGUUUUGUUGUUUGGUAAGAGGUCUUUCAGUGGAGUCAACAUUAAACACGCUUUGAAUCUGGAGGGGCGGUGCUUGGUUCUUGUGGGGGUUUUGUUUUUUUGGUAGGUUAUUUUUUUUAUAGUGUCUUUUCAAGUAUCCAAAUGUGUUUCCUAAUCUCUGUGUCUUUUUAAUAAUAUAU
This 1390-nucleotide long non-coding RNA is filed under the name Rattus norvegicus (Norway rat). RNAcentral's name for it is "long non-coding RNA NONRATT011977". Lineage: Eukaryota; Metazoa; Chordata; Mammalia; Rodentia; Muridae. The record is from RNAcentral.